This is a non-coding RNA of Neoarius graeffei (lesser salmon catfish), 394 nucleotides long. The record is from the annotation of a RefSeq genome assembly. NCBI's taxonomy places the organism in Eukaryota, Metazoa, Chordata, Actinopteri, Siluriformes, Ariidae.
UAACACUCCCAUACACUUUAAAUCUGGCUGAAGCAGAACUCAGAGAAGGAUGAUUUUCGGACAGUGUAUUUUAAUUGGACUCAUUUCAUAUUCUUAUGGACAGUCCCUGACCUCCUCUGCAUCUGUGGUGAAGAGACCUGGAGAGUCAGUCACUCUGUCCUGUACUGUCUCCGGAUUCUCAGUGGGCAGCUACUACAUGCACUGGAUCCGUCAGAAACCAGGACGAGGACUGGAGUGGAUCGGGCGCAUUUACAGUGACACGAUAUUCGCUCAGUCUCUGCAGGGCCAGUUCUCCAUCACUAAAGACACCAGUAAAAACAUUCUGUACCUCGAAGUGAAGAGUCUGAAAGCCGAAGACACGGCUGUUUAUUACUGUGCACGAGACUCACACUGA